GUGGUGUUAGCUUAAUGGUAUAGCAGAGGGAUUAAAACCUCGGUUGCAGGUUUAAGCCCUGCACAGCCCGCCA
Molecule: transfer RNA, 73 nt
Filed under: Arsenophonus nasoniae (son-killer infecting Nasonia vitripennis)
Lineage: Bacteria; Pseudomonadati; Pseudomonadota; Gammaproteobacteria; Enterobacterales; Morganellaceae
Description: tRNA-OTHER
Rfam family: tRNA
About the family: Transfer RNA (tRNA) molecules are approximately 80 nucleotides in length. Their secondary structure includes four short double-helical elements and three loops (D, anti-codon, and T loops).
Source: RNAcentral